Molecule: non-coding RNA, 31 nt
Filed under: Arabidopsis thaliana (thale cress)
Lineage: Eukaryota; Viridiplantae; Streptophyta; Magnoliopsida; Brassicales; Brassicaceae
Source: RNAcentral
UGGCCGAGGGCACGUCUGCCUGGGUGUCACA